RNAcentral lists this ribosomal RNA (253 nucleotides) under uncultured bacterium. Its description in RNAcentral is "partial 16S ribosomal RNA". It matches the Rfam family "Bacterial small subunit ribosomal RNA", at positions 524 to 776 of the family's 1533-position model. The record is from RNAcentral.
UACGGGGGGUGCAAGCGUUAUCCGGAAUUAUUGGGUGUAAAGCGUCCGUAGGAUGCUUUUUAAGUCUAUUGUUAAAUCCAGGAGCCCAACUCCUGUUCUGCAAUGGAAACUGGAAAGCUCGAGUUCGGUAGAGGAAGAGGGAAUUCUCGGUGUAGCGGUGAAAUGCGUAGAUAUCGAGAGGAACACCAGUUGCGAAAGCGCUCUUCUGGGCCGUUACUGACUCUGAGGGACGAAAGCCAAGGUAGCGAAAGGG